This 253-nucleotide ribosomal RNA is filed under the name uncultured bacterium. Its description in RNAcentral is "partial 16S ribosomal RNA". It matches the Rfam family "Bacterial small subunit ribosomal RNA", at positions 524 to 776 of the family's 1533-position model. The record is from RNAcentral.
UACGGAGGGGGCUAGCGUUGUUCGGAAUUACUGGGCGUAAAGCGCGCGUAGGCGGCUUUGUAAGUUAGAAGUGAAAGCCCGGAGCUCAACUCCGGAAUUGCCUUUAAGACUGCAUCGCUAGAAUCAUGGAGAGGUGAGUGGAAUUCCGAGUGUAGAGGUGAAAUUCGUAGAUAUUGGGAAGAACACCGGUGGCGAAGGCGGCGAGUUGGCCUGUACCUGACGCUGAGGCGCGACAGCGUGGGGAGCAAACAGG